GGGGUUGUAGCUCAGUGGUACAGUGCUUGCCUAGCAUGUGUGAGGCCCUGGGUUCGAUCCCCAGCACCA
RNAcentral lists this transfer RNA (69 nucleotides) under Ictidomys tridecemlineatus (thirteen-lined ground squirrel). Its description in RNAcentral is "Spermophilus tridecemlineatus (thirteen-lined ground squirrel) tRNA". It matches the Rfam family "tRNA". Rfam says of the family: Transfer RNA (tRNA) molecules are approximately 80 nucleotides in length. Their secondary structure includes four short double-helical elements and three loops (D, anti-codon, and T loops). Lineage: Eukaryota; Metazoa; Chordata; Mammalia; Rodentia; Sciuridae. The record is from Rfam by way of RNAcentral.